GAUGAAGAACGUAGCGAAAUGCGAUAAGUAGUGUGAAUUGCAGAAUUCCGUGAAUCAUCGAAUCUUUGAACGCACAUUGCGCCUCCUGGUAGUCCGGGAGGCAUGCCUGUUCGAGCGUCACCAAAUCCAACUCAAGCGGUUUUGCGCUUGGUCGUGGCGGAAGAGUCGGUCUGGUUGCCGUCUCCCCUCCGAAAAUCAACGGCGGAAAGUCACUGGCAGUCAGCGUAGUAGUAUCGUUCGCCGAACAUCCAGUGGCAUUCCUGCCGACGUACCCCCACAAUUCUCGUGAUUGACCUCGGAUCAGGUAGGGAUACCCGCUGAACUUAAGCAUAUCAAUAAGCGGAGGA
This 347-nucleotide unclassified non-coding RNA is filed under the name soil metagenome. RNAcentral describes it as "partial contains 5.8S ribosomal RNA, internal transcribed spacer 2, and large subunit ribosomal RNA". The stretch from base 1 to 120 matches the Rfam family "5.8S ribosomal RNA", at positions 35 to 154 of the family's 154-position model. The record is from RNAcentral.